RNAcentral lists this long non-coding RNA (39701 nucleotides) under Coffea arabica (coffee). RNAcentral's name for it is "long non-coding RNA (CARA_LNC006959)". The stretch from base 32790 to 32896 matches the Rfam family "Plant small nucleolar RNA R71". The record is from RNAcentral. Lineage: Eukaryota; Viridiplantae; Streptophyta; Magnoliopsida; Gentianales; Rubiaceae.
UAAGUCACCACCACCACCUCCUCCAGUGUACAAGUCUCCGCCACCUCCAGUCUACAAGUAUAAGUCACCACCACCUCCUUCCCCAAUUUACAAGUCACCACCACCACCUCCUCCAGUAUACAAAUCACCUCCACCACCUCCUCCAGUUUACAAAUCUCCACCACCACCAAUUUAUAAAUACAAGUCUCCUCCACUACCUCCUCCAGUGUACAAGUCAUCACCACCACCUGCUUACAAGUCUCCACCUCCUCCAGUUUACAGUUCCCCACCACCACCAAUCUACAAGUCUCCACCUCCACCCUACCAUUACUACUACAAUUCUCCUCCUCCUCCUCGUCACUACUAAGCAAUUGUAUCCAAGUUUUUGAGGUAAUAACGUUUAACCAAUAAAUUAACUUUCGCAUGAUAAACCUUAUCUCUAUCUAGACAAACUGCCAUGUGUAUAAUGCCAAAUACGUACACCUAGAUCCAUGAAAAUGAGUGGUAGAAAGUUUUCUUAAGAACCAAGGAACAGCAUUAGUAUUCCCUCUGCUUCCAAACACUUGUGUAUUAAAUAGAUUAAUGAAUUGUUUAACAUGCUCAUCUACUUGAAAAUGCACAAUACCCAUAACCCACUGAAAUUUUUGCAGGAAAAGGGAAAGAGAAUCUGUGUUUGAGAGCUUCAUGAAGAUGUUGAAGAAUAAGAAUAAAAGCCCAAUGCGAGGAUGUUUUCAAGUUUUUCUAUGUUUCCACUUUAAUUUGUAAAUUGAAUUUUGCGACUCAAUUAAUUCCCUGUUUGUGGGGUACGUAUUGUUUUACGUACCAUGCCGUACAUGUUUGUAAGGAUUUCUAUCCUAUUGGCAAAAGUCGGUUCCGUACAAUUAAUCAAUUCAUUUCACUUCUAUUGGCUCUACUAUUUAUGCAUGUUACGACAUUUUUUCUCUCUUUCCCUUAUAUUUUGCCUUUAAUAUUAUUGAGUCAAUAUUAAUAAUGGGCCUUUUUCUUAAAAUUAUACUAUUAUACAUAGGUAGUUUGGUCUAACGCUAAAUUCAUGUUUGUCUUUCUUUUAUUCCCUUUACAUCUCAAAGUAUACUAUAGUUUGUAAUCAUUGUGGUGAUGAUAUUACCAGCUGGUACUUAUAGUUUAAGGCAGAGACAUGAUAUUAACAACUAUCUCAUUGAAACAUAAGGAAAAAUCAUGACAAGUGUGAGUCUUGGUUAAUGCACAAUUUGUUAGUGGAAUUUAUAUUUAUAAAACUCAAAAAAAAUUUUUGACAAUGCUAUUACUAAUUAAUUAAGGACUUUAUUGCUAUAACUUAUCGCUUACUAGUUUAAACUAUAAAUGAUCUCAAUACUUUUCUCCAUGAUGUCGAUUUCUUUAGACUACGAAAGGGAAAAAUUAGUGACAUAUCCUCUACUGAUUACAACAUCAGCAAAAAUUAGUUAUAAACUUUUCCGGUGGUUUUAAAUCCCUCGGGCCCUAAGAUUUUUUGCUCAUCGAGUGAAUUAAGGAACAUAGGCAAUUCGUUCUACAUACCAAGUCCUUGUUUAAGAUGCAAGUACUAAAAUGCAUCCACUUCAUUAAUUUGGGAAAUUGCCAUAGUUUUUUUUAAGCAUUUUGAUUUUUUACAUGAUUCAAAAUUUUCUGAUUGGAUACAAUCACUUUGUAUCAAGAACACAUUUUCAAUCACCUUUUUUUAUCUUCUCAAUAAGAAAAUAAAAAUUUAUUCAUGCUUUUCUAACAUAUUCAAUCAUUGAUCUGAAAAUUAAAACAUUAAAAAAAAAGGACAUUUUCAAUCACUGCUUACAGGGCAACUUCCCCAUGUGAACCUCUUCAAACAAAGCCAAUAAUAUGAAGGAAUAUCUAAAUAUACUUUUGCCCUAAAGGCUGGUUGCCUUGGGGUCAAAAUUUAACCUUCCGGAGUAUAAUUACCCUGCCAAAUUUAUUUUUUUUUUAUGGGUAUAUAGUUCCAAUUUUGCCUCCUGUUAAGCUUAUAAAUAUAUUAUCACCCAGAAAAUAAAGGAAUCUUGAAUACUAACAUGUCCAUUGACUUGAGUUGUCAUCAAUUUGGCUACUUCGAUUCCAUGAGGCCAAUCCAAUUCACACUAGCUAGAGAAAAUGGUGACAAAGGCACUUAGAAAAUUAUAUGUAAUAUUGAUUGGUAGUAACCAGCUUGUAUUGAUUGGUAGUAACCAGCUUGUGCUCUUAUGAAAAAAAAAUUAGCAAAAUUUAUGAGAACAAUUAAAUUUAUUCGUACAAAUCAGUCAAAGAAGUAGUAUUUUAAAGACCGUGAUGAAAUUAAUACUUUCAAGGUUUCUAUUAGGAAGACUUCCUUUGUUGGUGAAACUACACUAGGCAGAGUUAUAUGGUAUCAAAAAAUAGUUGUAUUCACGUCUGUUCUUUUUUUCUUCCUUAAGUUUUUUUCUUUAUUCUCGUGACUUCAAAAAUACGAACUCAAGAAAUUGGCUGCUCAAUCAGUAUGUCAUACAGGCUUCGCUAGUGAGGUAUAACUUCACAACUAGAGCCAAUAGAAAUCGUCAAAUGAUUUUUUGACAUCCAAAUUAAGCAAUAAAUUUUGUUUUCAUUUCAUAACAUAUAAUAGUACUACUUCAUGGGAGAUUUUAUAGUUUCUUUAGGGUAUCAUACCUACAAGUGAUAUUUGUCAUUGGAUAGUGAAAGAAGUGUUAAUGACUGUAAGAUUAAAUAUUGUUAAAUAUUGAAAAUUUAAACUAUUUAUCUUUAUUGAGAGAUACAACUUAAAGAAUCCUACCCAAAAGAGACUAUAGAAUUUUCUCUGUUUUUCAUCAUCUGUAGACAUAAAUUUUGCCUAUACAAUGUGAUAGCAUUUUUUCAAAAAGACAAGAUGGAAAAUUGCCCCCCUUGAACGGAAAAUUGCCCCCUUGUCAAUUCUUUAAAAAAGAAUACUCGCUCCUGAACAUAGCCUGUUCAUCUACACUGUCCCGCAGAAUUCUAGAAAGUUAGGCAAAACUAGACUAGUUGACAGGUAUAAUCAUACCCAACAUCAGGAACAAGCAGUUGCACAUUUCAAAAUUCGCUGCUGCAACAACUAAUUUGAUGACUUACAACACUACACGGUCAAACUUUGAAUGGCAAUGGAUCUUUUGAUGUAAUUUUCAUGUUACAUACAUUAAUAGAUUGAUAUCUAUAUUCUUUAAAUUAUCGUAAUAAUACUCUUAAUUACAUUUAAUUGAUAAAAAGAACACGUGUCAACACACAAAAAUGUGUAAUGUGAAUGUUACAUUAGUGUAUAGCAGAAGACCUAUAGUCUCUUCACAUCUCUUCCUGCACGUAUCAAUUCGUUUCCUCUAGAUAAUAAUCUCCCAACUCAUUUCUUUACAAAUGCACCUUUUAUGUUUUAUUACCUCCAAAAGCCUUUACAGGGUCUUUACCCUAAAAAUCAAUUCACCGACUCGCAUUUGAUAUCAGAAAUUCUUAUUACGAAUUCUACUUUACUCAAAGAUUGACUGUUAAUAAUGAGACAACGACCAUUUUGUAUUAUUACACCGUCCUUCUUGAUAGGCAAAAGAAAUAGAGAGGAAAGCGGGUCCGUAUAUGGUCUUUUAUUCAUAGAUAAUACAACAUUACGCCAUCGAGCAUUCACACAAUAUUUCAAAGUCAUUGCAUGCCUAAGACCCUGUUUGAUAAUCCAAUUCCAUACUUAAAUUUAAUGGAUUUAAAUCUUAACACAUUCAAAUCGUUUGAUAACAAAAAAUUGAACAUUUAAAUUAAUUAAGUAACACUGGAUUUCCAAGACAAAACUUGCUCCCAAAAUUAAGUGAUAAGUGAAUAACUUAUCACUGAAUGUAUGUAUUAGAUUUAAUACUUAAUAAUUUAAUAAUUUAAUGAAUUCAGAUUUCAGAUUUCAGAUUUCAGAUUUCAGUUUUCAGUUUUAUCACACACACCCUAAGUUACAAAUUAAUACCAAAACUUGUUAUUAUAUAGCUUGAGAUUCAAAAAUUUAGAGCAUAAUUCUCAACCUAACACAAUUGAAUAAUGAAUAUUCACGAUUGUCAAAACUAUCAAAGUACAAUUUGAGGACAACCCAUUCCAACGCGUACACGAUUUUUAACUUUUCUAAAGUUGUUGAGAGCUGUUGAAAGAGAUUUACCAUGUUUACAUCUUCCAAGUCUUGGGAGUAAAAAAUGAAGCCACUGAGUGCUAUAAAAAGGGGGCUAGAGGCUGCCUAGAAGCAUAUCAGCCUAAAACAAGAAUUUGUAGUAACAAUGGGGAGCAAAGCAAAAGCAACGGAGUCUAGGCUGACUCCUCUUCUUACCACUGUUUUAGUGGUAUUUGUUGCCCUUGGCUUGCCCUUGGAAACUGCAGCUGAUUAUUACAAGUAUUCAUCUCCUCCUCCUCCUCCUUACCACUAUUCCUCACCACCACCUCCUGAGUAUUCACCUCCACCAACCCCUGUUUAUAAGUUACCCCCACCAUCUCCUCCAGUUUACAAGUCCUCACCGCCACCUUACCACUACUCACCACCUCCGGUGUAUUCACCUCCACCAUCACCAGUUUACAAGUCACCGCCACCACCCCCUCCAGUAUACAACUCCCCGCCUCCACCAGUGUACAAAUACAAGUCCCCACCGCCACCUCCUCCAGUUUACAAAUCUCCACCGCCACCAAUUUACAAGUACAAGUCACCCCCACCACCUCCUCCGGUAUACAAGUCUCCUCCGCCACCUGUUUACGAGUACAAGUCUCCUCCACCACCUCCUCCAGUGUACAAGUCUCCACCACCUCCAGUUUACAAGUACAACUCACCACCACCUCCUCCCCCAGUUUACCAAUCUCCACCACCACCAGUUUACAAAUACAACUCACCACCACCUCCUCCCCCAGUUUACCAGUCUCCACCUCCACCCUAUCAUCACUACUACGGUUCUCCUCCUCCUCACCACUACUAAGCAAGUGCAUCUAAGUUUUGAGGUAAUAAUACCUAUCCAAAACUUUAUCAACACAAACUGCCAUGUAUAUCAUGCUAAGGACGUACACUUGAUCCAUGAAAAUGACUUGUAGAAGAUUUUUUUUAAGAACCAAAGAAAUACAUUAUUUUUUCGGUCUGUUUUCAAGAAUUUGAGCAGUAUACAGAUUAAAGAGUGUUUUUUUUUUUAAACUUGCUUAUCAACUUAGAAAUGCACAUAGCUGAAAGCCAACUGAAUAUUUGCAGGCAAAGGAGAAGACAAUCGGUGUUUGCGACCUUCAAGAAGAUGUAGAAGAAUAAGAAUAAAAGCCCAAUGCGAGGAUGAUUCCAAGUUUCUACGUUACCAUUUCUACAUCUAAAUUGACUCUAGCUCCUGAGUUCCAUGUUUAUGGGGUUUGUACCGUUUUACGUACCAUGCAGUGCAUGCUUGUAAGGUUUUCUGUCCUGUUGGCAAACUGCAGGUCCAUAUAAUAAAAGAAUACUAUUUAUAUUACGACACUUUUCUCUCUUUCUCUUAUAUUUUGUCUUUAAUAUUGUUGAUCAUUUUUUUUUAUUUAUCAAAAGUAUCAAAUGUUUAGGUAAUUUGGUCUAAUGCUAAUUGUUUUACUUCUCUUUUUCACCUACACCCCUUUUCAACUCAAAGGAUGCUAUAGUUUGUGAUAAUUGUUUAAGACCGAAGCAUGAUACUAAUAAAUAUCUCAUUGAAAGUCAAGGAAACUAACAUUAUGAAAAGUGUAAAUCUUGAUUUGAUGAAACUAUUUAUUCGUGGAAUUUAGAGAUACAAAACUCAAAUUGUGACGGUGCUGUUGCUAAAUUAUUAAGGACAUUAUCACCACUAUUUUUCCCUUACUAGUUUCAACUGCAAUGAUCUCAAUCUUUUUGUGACUAAUUCUUUUCUUAAUAAUUUAUAAAUACAAAACUCACAAAGAAUAUGUGACUAAUUCUUUCCUUUCGUCUUCUAAAGAAAAUGGCAACUGUUAGUUUAUCAAGGGAAAAAGGAUCGACAUCAGUUGUUAUUGAAACUAGUAAGGAAAAAAUAAUGGUGAUAAUGUCCUUAAUAAUUUAACAACAGCACCAUCAGAAUUUGAGCUUUGUAUCUAUAAAUUCCACGAAUAAAUAGUUUCAUCAAAUCAAGAUUUACACUUUUCAUAAUGUUAAGUUUCCUUGACUUUCAAUGAGAUAUUUAUUAGUAUCAUGCUUCGGUCUUAAACAAUGAUCACAAACUAUAGCAUCCUUUGAGUUGAAAAGCGAAGUAGGUGAAAAAGAGAAGUAAAAAAUACAAUUAGCAUUCCCUCAAAUCGUAGAAAGUUAGGUAGCAUUAUAGACAAGUUGAUAGCCGUAAUGAUACUAAAAAUCAGGCAAAAGCCAGCAAUUUUACAUUUCAAAAUUCACCUAUCCAAUAACUAAUUCGAUGGCUUGCUACAUGGUCAAUCUUUGGACCCCUUCCUGCCACCACAUAUCCCUUUCCUCAAUCAGGGGCUUCUACAAUUACCAGUUCCAAUUGUAUGGUAUAGUGUAAAUAUCAACAAAUCAGAUGUAGACGCUAAUUUAAUAAAUGUGGAUGCUAAGACAACAACAUACAAAAACAUAAUAAAUUUUGGCAUUCCUUAAAAAAAUUAAGUCCCCAAAUCAAUCUCAUACACCCAAUUUCUAAUUUAAUUUAACCCAUUCCCUCUAUUAACUACACCAUACAAUACAAUCGAACCCAUUCCCUUCUAAUUUCUUCACAAAAUGCACCUUUCAUCACCGACAUGAUCUUUACCCUAGAAGACUAUUCACCGACUCUCCAUUGACGUCAGAAAAUCUAAGAGUAAUUCUACUUUACCCUAAGAUUGAUAUCAACGAGACAAUAAUGACAAUUUAGAAUUAUUACACGCCUCUUCUUAAUAGGAAAAAGAAAUACAGAAGAAAGUCAGGCCAGGUCUAAUUCUUUUUCAAAGGCAAUACAAUAUUACGAAAUCAAGCAGUCAUUCAUACAAAUAUUUCAUAGUCACCGGCCGGGGUUUGCUGAGUAGAAAAGUUUAUACAAAAACUUAAUAUUAUAUUGUUUAAGAGUUAACAAUUUAGAGCUUAAUCUCCUUGUACUUUGGACUAAACUCGAACGUGAAAGGAAAUCCCAAAACCAUAUUGGGCAUGAAUUCACACUUAAUAGACCCAAAAGAAGAUGGCGACUGGUGAAAGGCAGUGGAGACUGGUGGAGAGAUUUGAGGAAUAGAAGCAGACGGAAAAGCAACAAAUUUUUGCCGAAAAACGGUCACUUUCAUGGUUAAUUUUGCUACUCUCUAAUUGUACUUGACCAAAUACAACAAUUUCAUGGAGUUUGAUACACAAGCCCAAAUACACGAGAGUGUGUAACCUGAAUUGUUACUUAUACAUUAGUGUGUAAUAGAACGGCAAGCAUUAUGGUGGUCAUUGAGCAACUUAUAGAAGAAAUAGUCCUAUAAGCUGUUCGAUGACCAAUCGCAACUUGCUAAUUGGAUGACUAAUAUAGCUCUAGCUGUAAUGUUUUAAUUAAAUUCCAUCACUAACGUUGGGAUGACUUUUUAACCAAAAAAAAAAAAAAAGCCUUAGUUCAAGCUUUUCCCCUUAUUGUGCAUUUUUUAAAACAUUUGAUAGGCACUGCAAAUCUGUCAUUUUGGACAUCAACCCAUAUCCAACACAAGAUUAAAUUAAUAUUAGAAAAAAUUAUUACGUAAUUGGAAAAAAAAAAAGAAGAGACUAAUUUUCAUUGAAACCCACCGACAAACUAAGCGUGUCCAUAGCUUUUGAUUAGUUCAUUGCCGAUCACAUGGAGUAAAGAUUGUGCUCUUUCCCUUUCCCCCCCUUUUGGAAUCGAUACUGUGGAGAAUUGGCUUUUUCCCUCCUUUUUUUCUUUUCUUUUCUUUUCUUUCCUUCUGUACUUUGCAAAACAUAGGUAAAAAUAUGAAAUCCGAAGCAUUCUUUAAUUGGGAUUAAGUAUUGUUCUUGAAAUUAAAAAAAAAAAGAAAGAAAGAACAACAAAAAUCCCAAUCUGGGUUGAUUGUUGAGCUCUAGAUUGGCUGCAUCGUGCUUCCAUAGAAGUUCUCUUAGUGUGAUACGCUGCUUUCAAUCAGUUUUAACACGGGAAAAAGAAAAGACAUGAAAAGCAAAUUUUGUGGGGAUAAUUUCGGUAACCUCCCCUGAAGUUUUUGACUAUUUUACUGGCCUCCCUUCAGAUUUUAAAAAUUGCACUAAUCUUCCUUAAAGUUAAUUAUCUUGUAACAUUUAGAUCCAAUCAAUAAUUUAAAAAAUGAUAUUAUGAGAGAGAAAAUAAUAUGAUUUUAUCAUUGCCCCCAUCUUACUACAUUAUUUAAUUAAUUUAAUAGCAACCCACACAUUAAAGAAAAAUGCAAAAAUUUGUUGUUUAUCAUUAAAGAUCAUCAUAUCGCAUAUAACAUCAAAAAAUAGUAUAUUAUUUAUAUUUUUCACUUAAUAUAAUAUCCAAAUUACUCUUUUCAGUUACAUACCCAUUGUUAGACAAAAUCAACAACAAAUAACCAAAAAAUUUGCAACCAAAAUAUUACAAAAAAAUAAACUUUAACAUCAUAAAUAUUUUUAUCAACAUAUUAAAGUUAGUUAUUGAAAUUUUUAUGGUGUUAAACUUCACUCUUUGUAAUAUUUUGGUUACAGAUUUUUUUGAUUAUUUGUUGUUGAUCGUGUUUGACAAUGGAUUUGUAACUGAAAAGAACAAUUUGGAUCUUACAUUAAGUGAAAUAUAUAAAAAUAUUAUACUAUUUUUUAUGGCAUAUGUGAUUCUUUUUUUUUUUUUUUUUUUAUCAGAACGGCAACAUUGUAUUAAUAGUAAACCAAUUACAGUAUAGGUGGGCAACCGCCCUCACAAUCUGCCUGGACUUGUUCCAGCAGCCAAACUGGGAAGUUUUCCUUCCAUUCAGUAUUUUGUUCCAAAGUAAUAGCUACUUUAGCUAGUUUAUGGCUAACAAAGUUGUUCACCCUAUUUGCAAAGGUAAAACAACAUUCAUCAAAUUUUAUUCAUGUACAAUUGUUGCUAUCACCACGUCCUCCUCCUCCUCCUCACUGCACACUACUUGACUACCACCCUUCGCCAACCUUGCUGUUGCAUGUGCAACUAUCAUGGCCUCUCUUAGCGCCUUUGCUUCUUCGACCUUUGGACUGGCACAGCUAAAAUUUGGAACAGCCCAGGCCCACCCGCAAUCUUCCCAACCAAUCCCUGGCCACCCUUUUCCCACCCAGCUUCUAUGGCAUGUGUGAUUCAAUCCUUCUUGAUAGGAUUGGUAAUAGAGGCAGAGGGGGGAGCCGGCUGCAUCCGGUCUACUUUUCAUAGAUAGUACAAUAUUGCGAAAUCGAUCGCAUUCACACAAGAAUAUUUCGAAGUCAUUGCAUCGCUAAGUUGCAAAAAAGUACAAACACUUGUUAUUAUAUAGCUUAAGAUUCAAAACUUUAGAGCACAACCCUCCACCUAACACAAUUGAAUAAUGAAUAUUCACGAUUGUCAAAUCUGUCAAAGCACAGUUUGAGGACAACCCAUUCCAACCUGCAAAAGAUUUUUGACUUUUUUAAAGUUGUUGAGAGCUGUAAAAAGACUUACCAUGCUUACAUCUUCCGAGCCUUGGGAGUUAAAAAUGAAGGCACUGAGUGCUAUAAAAAGGGGGCUAGAGGCUGCCUAGAAGCAUAUCAGCCUAAAACAAGAAUUUGUAGUUAUGAUGGGAAGCAAAGCAAAAGCAAUGGGGUCUGGGCUGACUCCUCUUCUUACCACUGUUUUAGUGGUAUUUGUUGCUCUUGGCUUGCCCUCAGAAACUGCAGCUGAUGAUCACUACAAGUAUUCAUCUCCUCCUCCUCCUUACCACUAUCCCUCACCACCACCUCCAGUGCAUUUACCUCCACCAGUGUACAAAUACAAGUCCCCACCACCACCUCAUCAUGUUUACAAGUACAAAUCUCCACCACCCCCACCACCACACCCAGUUUACAAGUAUAAGUCGCCACCACCACCUCCUCAUCCGGUAUACAAGUACAAGUCUCCUCCGCCACCUCCUCAUCCGGUACCACACCCAGUUUACAAGUAUAAGUCACCACCACCACCUCCUCAUCCGGUACCACACCCAGUUUACAAGUAUAAGUCUCCUCCGCCACCAGUUUACAAAUAUAAGUCUCCUCCACCACCACCUCCAGUGUACAAAUACAAGUCUCCACCACCACCAGUUUACCACUACAAGUCUCCACCACCUCCUCCCCCAGUUUACAAAUACAAGUCUCCACCACCACCAGUUUACCACUACAAGUCUCCACCACCUCCUCCCCCAGUUUACAAAUACAAGUCUCCACCACCACCACCACCAGUUUACCACUACAAGUCACCACCACCUCCUCCCCCAGUUUACAAAUACAAGUCUCCACCACCUCCUCACCACUACUAAGCAAUUGCUUCUGAGGUAAUAACACUUGUUCAAUAUACACACUUCUGCAUGAUAAAACAUAUCUCUAUCAACACAAACUGUCAUGUCUAUCAUGCUAAGUGCCUUCACUUCAUCCACGAAAAUGACUGCUAGAAAAUUUUUUUUUAAGUUACCAAAGAAAAGCAUCAUUUUUUCCCUCUGUUAUCAAGAACUUGUACAGUAUGUAGAUUAAAGAGUUUUUAUUUUAACUAGCUUAUCAACUUAGAAAUGCAUAUAACUGAUAGCCAGCUGAAUAUUUGCAGGCAAAGGAGAAGGAAACCAGUGUUUGGACCUUCUUGAAGAUGUAGAAGCAUAAGAAUAAAAGCCCAAUGUGAAGAUGAUGAUUUCAAGUUUUUCUACGUUACCAUUUCUAUAUCUAAAUUCGUUGUAGCGCCUUAGUUCCUUUGUUUAUGGGAUUUGUAUCGUUUUACGUACCAUGCAGUACAUGUCAUGUUUGUAAGGUUUUCUAUCCUGCCGGCAAAUCGCAGGUUCCAUGUAAUAAAUCAAUACUAUUUAUAUUACGACACUUUUCUCUGUUUCUCUUAUAUUUGUUUGGAUUGAGCUUUAUUUCCCCAAAUUUAUUUGCUUACAUCAUCAUUACAAUUUCUAAUACACCUUUUUACCUUCCCGAUUACCUUUUUAUCUCACAUACAUCACAUCACAAAAAGUGCUACAGUAAAAAUAUCUCUAAUAAUUCACAAUCCAAACAGACUUUUGUCUUUAAUAUUCUUAAUCAUAUUUUUAACAAAAAUAUUCAAAUACUUAGGUAAUCUGGUCUAAUGCUAAUUGUAUGUUUUACUUUUCUUUUUCACCUGCUCCCCUUUUCAACUCAAACGGAUGCAAUAGUUUGUGAUCCCUGUUUAAGACGGAAGCAUGAUACUAAUGAAUAUAUCAUUGAAACUCAAGGAAACUAACAUUAUGAAAAGUGUAAAUCUUGAUUUGAUGCAACUAUUUAUUCGUGGAAUAUAUAGUUACAAAACUCAAAUUCUGACUGCGCCAUUGAUAAAUUAUUAAUGACGCUAUCAUCAUUAUUUAUCCCUAACUAGUUUCGACUACAACUGAACCCAAUAUUUUCCCCAUGAUAAAAGUUUUUGACUAUUUUACUGGCCUCUCUUCAAAUUUUAAAAAUUACACUAAUCUUCAUUGAGAUUAAUUAUCUUGUAACAUUUAGUUCCGAUCAAGAAUUUAAAAAUGAUAUUAUGAGAGAAAAAAUAAUAUAAUUUUAUCAUUGCCCCCCAUCUUGCUAUAUUAUUUAAUAAAUUUAAUAGCAACCCACACAUUAAAGAAAAAUACUAAAAUUUGCUACUUUUCAUUAAAGAUCAAAUUGCAUAUGCCAUAAAACAUAGUAUAUCAUUCUAUGUGUUUCACCUAAUGUAAGAUCCCAAUUGUUAUUUUCAAUUACAAACCCAUUGUCAAACAUGAUCAACAACAAAUAACCAAAAAAUUUGCAACCAAAAUAUUACAAAAAAAAAUAAACUUUAACAUCAUAAAUAUUCUUACCACCUCCAGUGCAUUCACCCUCACCAACCACUAGUUUACAAGUCACCCCCACCACCUUACCACUAUUCCUCACCGCCACCCACAGUGCAUUCACCUCCACCACCACCUGUUUAUAAGUCACCUCCACCACCUUAUCAUUAUUCGUCACCACCAUCUGCAUUGCUUUCACCUCCAUCAUCACCAGUUUACAAAUCACCACCACCAUCUUCCCCAGUGUACAAGUCCCCUCCACCACCAAUUUACAAGUCUCCGCCGCUAUGUCCCCCAGUAUAUAAGUCAUCCCCACCACCGCCUCCAAUGUACAAGUCUCCGCCGACACCAAUCUACAAGUACAAUUCACCACCACCCAUGCCUCCAGUUUACAACUCCUUGCCACCACCUAUUUACAAACACAAGUCUCCCCCACCACUUCCUCCGGUAUACAAGUCAUCUCCACUGCAUCCUCCAAUUUAUGAGUCUCCUCGUCCACCAGUUUACGAGCACAAGUCUCCUCCACCGCCUCCUCCAGUAUAUAAGUCACCACCACUAUCUCCUCCAGUACAUGUCUCCACCACCGCCUAUUUACAAAUCUCCGCCUCCUCCAGUUUACAAUUCCCCACCACCACCAAUAUACAAGUCUCCACCUUCAUCCAACCAUUACUACUAUAAUACUCCUCCUCCUCCUUCGCACUACUGAGGAAUUGCAUCCAAGUUUUGAGGUAAUAACGCGUAACCAGUAUAAACUUUUGUAUGAUAAACCUUAUCCCGAUCAACACAAACUGCCAUGUGUAUCAUGCUAAGUACGUACGCUUAGAUCCAUGAAAAUGACUAGUAGAAGGUUAUCCUAAGAACCAAGGAACAUUAGUUUUCCCUCUGUUUCCAAAAACUUGUGUUUGUUUAACAUGCUUAUCAACUUGGAAAUGCGCAUUGCUAAUAGCCAACUGAAAUUUUUGCAGGCAAAUUGGGAAGAGAAUCAGUGUUUGAGCGGUUCAUGGAAGAAUAAGAAUAAAAGCCCAAUGCGAGGAUGUUCUCAAGUUUAUUAAUGUUUCCGUUCUAUUUUGUAAAUUGAUUUUUGCGACUUAAUUAAUUCCCUGUUUGUGGGGUUCGUGUUGUUUUACCUACAUGCCAUACAUGUUUGUAAUGAUUUUUAUUGCAAAAUGCCGGUCCAAUAAAAUAACUGUAUUCAUUUUGUGUCUUUUGAGUAAACUUCUAUUGGUUCUACUACUUAUUUUACGAUAUUUUUUUUCUCUCUUUCUCUUACAUUUUCCGUUUAAUAUUAUUGAUAAUUUUUUUAACAAAAAAGGUUGAUAUACUUAGGUAGUUCACUAGUUUGGUCUAAUCCUAACUUCAGGCUUGUCUUGUCUUUUAUCUCUACAUACCUUUUCAACUCAAAGGAUGCUACUAUAAUUUGUGAUCAUUGUAGUGGUGAUAUUCCGAGCUAUUACAUAUAAUUUAAGGCAGAGAUUUGAUCCUAGCGAGUAUCUCACUGACAGAUUAGGAAACAUCAUGAAAAGCGUAUAUCUUGAAUUAGUGCAACUAUUUCUUAGGGGAAUUUAUAGUUACAAAAUUCCAAAUUUUGAGAUUCUAUUACUGAUUAAUUAAGGACGUUAUCACUAUUUUUUUUUAAUUAUCACCAUUAAAUACCCCACAUACUAUAAGUUUUUUUAGGGCACAGGAAAAGAGGUGGGCCGAUGUUUAGUUAUCUACAAAAGUUCAAAUUUUGUAGAUAAAUUAUCAUGCGCCCUUAAAGAGUGCAGAAUACCAAAAAAAAAAAAAAAAAAAAAUCAUAUACUAUAACUAAUCCUAAUAUUUUUCCCUACGAUAAACUAACUCUUAUCCAUUUCUUUAGAUGAUGAAAGGAAAUAGUUAGUCACAUAUCCUCUAGUGAUUACAACAGCAUCAAAACAAAUUAGCACUCUUUUCCCGUAGUUUAAAAAUCCCUCAGCCACUAAGAUUUUGCAUAUCGAACGAAUUAAGGAACAUAGGCGCUUCGUGCUGGACAACAGUGUCCUUGUUGACGAUGCAUCCGCAUAUACUUCCUUAAGCAUUUUGAUUAUUUUAUGAUUCGAAUUUUUCUUGUCUGACAGCUGGACUUAAUUGAAAAACUCAAGUAAUAAUAUUCCAAAGCUGAUUCGUCAAAGUUUACCCAAUUGGUGAAACUUUCUUAAUAGAGCUGACUUUGUAUUACGUGACAAUGAUAUGGAUGCUCAAAGUUUUCAAUGGGAAAUUUAUAUGAGCUUUUCACGACAAAAUGUGUUCCGAUAAAGGUUCAUUCCAGAGGUUAAAAUUUUGUUUGUUAAAAAUUUACUUCUCAAGUCUUUGAUGCGAAAGUCUUGGUAUUUCCAAAAAGUCUUGAAAUCGCAGCAUAUAAGCCACUUUCUGUUCUCUUUUUUUCAUUGAAGUCUUUCCAAAUGUCAGUUCCAAAAGGAGUUUUUUAUGAAUUAUGAUAGAUAAUUAAUCUGACGGUCCAUAUAUAUGUGAUUUGCAAGAGGGUGUUUGGCGAAAUGGUUAGGCUUUCUAAGUAAUGAUAGGAAUGCCAUUUGCAAAGAAGGACAGGGGGCCUGUGCUGUCAUAUUUUAUGCGAUUUGAUCCGUUGUUGUAUAAGUUUAAAUUUUUGACGUGCAAUUGUGCUACAAUAUUAUACUAAAUAUAUGUGUGAAAUAUUUUGUCUAUAUACAUCACUUUUAUCGUGAAUACAACAGCUGAGUAUAAUAAUAUAAUAUAAUGUAAUUAUACACCAAAUAAUGUAACAAAUAUAACAAUCGAUCUGAAUUACACGAAAUCAUAACAACAAGAUCACCGCCUCCCAAAUUUUACAAAAUAAGGUUUUUUUUUUCUUUUAGAUUAUUGAAAAUUUUCAAAAAUAUUCUACAUAAUUUAAAUUUUUGUCCUACAAAAAUUAAAAGAGAUUUUAUAUUGCACGCUUAAGCUUAGAUAUAUUAAAGUUUGCCCCCAAGAUUAAUUUUCCGUUUUUAUCUAUGGUUUCUCAUCUAUGAGCCGAUCCAUAUAGCUAGUUAGACUGUACUCCUCACAUUUGUGGGAUUUGACACCCAAGAUUCUCCUUCUUGGAAUGUAAAAUGUAGAUCUUCUAUGUUAAUAAUUCAGGACCCAACUGUCAUAAACGAAAUGACUGAUCAACUCCUGUAAAUCUAAUUUAACAACAUUUAAAUGGAGAACUUUAGCUAAAAGAAUUAUGGUUAUUUUCCAACAUAUGCAAUCAUUGAUCAGAAUAUAUAUAUAUAUAUGUAAAAGACAUCUUCAGUCAUUUCAUAGCUUACCAGGCAAAUUAACCCCUAAGUGAACCUCUUCGAACAGAACUGACAAUAUGGAUGAAGAUCUGGAUAUUCUUUUAUCCUGACUCCUAAGGGAAAACUGGUUGAUCUAGAAUCAAAAUUUUACCCUAGUUACCCAGGCAACUUUUUUGUUGCCUUUUUUUUUUUUGGUAUAAAGCUCCAAUUUUGCUCCCUCUGUUAAGCUUAUAAUGCAUAUAAUUAUUAAGAUAAUAAAAGUGCCUUGAAUAGUAUUAAUAUAUGCAUUGACUUGAGCUGUCAUCAGUUCGGCCACUUCGAUUCCAUGAGGCCUUUUCAAUUCACACUAGCUAGAAAAUGGGGAGUCGUGAAAACCUUUUGUUCUAUUCAUUGCUAAGAUGCUUUUCUCUAUAAAGAGACUUCCUAACGAAAAUACUUUGUAGAUUUCUUUACUCCAAGUGGUGCAUGAAAAAUUAAUAUUUUCAAUUAACAAAUAAAAUUCCCUUUUUUUGGUGUAGAUUUCAUCCAUCCAGCUGUUAACACAUUCUAUAAAUCCGAAUUGACUAAUCUUUUCAUUUCCAUUUUCCAACUUGCGAAUACGGCAUCUUAUAUAAUGUCUGCUAAACACUAUAUAUUCUCUGCCAAAUAUGAAUACAUAUCACUUUUCUGAGCAAGUGCAGAGUCAUUAUCAUUUUUAUUCCCACAUAACAAAUUAGUGGUUGAGCAUCUUUACAUGCUAUCAGGUCACAAGUUAAUAAUCUUUUAAAGAACAUGUUAAAUUAAUUUAUUGGUAUGAAUAGUCAAAGAAGUAUGUUAAAGUUAGCAAUCUUUAAAAUAAUAUGUUAAAAUCAUUAGUACAAAUUAGUCAGAGAAGUAGCAUAAACACCACGAUGCAAUUAAUACUUUCAAUCUCAAGGUCUCUCUUACGGAAAUUUGCAUCGGUCAACAUACACAAAGCAUAAUUGUAUGCACGUCUCUCUAUCAUGGAAUUUGCAUAGGUCAAUAUACACUUGGCAUAGUUGAUAGUUGUAUGCGCGUAGGCAUGGCCAUGGUUCCAUUUGGAACUGGGAAUCAGACCGAAACCGGAUCGUUUGGAACCAGAUCAGAACCGGAAUCAAAACCAUGAAACCAGAACCGUGAUAGAACCUUGGAUAAAGGUUCCGGUUCUGGUUCUCUAAAAAAUAGAACCAGAACCAGAACCGUUAAAAAUAAUUAAUAUAAGUGGUGAGAUAAUUCAAAAAAAAUUAGUUGUGUUUAAUAGGUUUUAAGAAAGUUUAAAUUUUAUGGACUUUCUAUAUAUUUUAUUAAUUAUUUAAUUCUUUCUAUUCAUCUAAUAUUUAUCAUUAUAAUUUGCAAGUAUUAAAUUAUUACUUAAAAUUUUUUUUUUUUUUUGCUUAUUUGCUAUCAAAUGACAAGUUUUGAUGGUAGUAGCUCAUCUUCAAAAUCAAGCAAGCAAAAAAAUAUUUUUUGCAAUAUUUCUUCAAAUGGAAUCUUCAACAUUGAUGAUUGUCCAACUCAAGAAAGUCAACAUAUGACAACCAUUUGAUAGUGUAAUGUAUUUUUUAAUUUGACAAUGUAAUGUACUUUUCAUAAAAUUUAUAUUAUCUAUUUAUUACUUCUUACUUUGUAGAAUAAUAAUAAAAUUAAAAUAUGAUCUUUAUUUUGUAUUUAUUUUUUUACGUUUUAUUUGAAAUUUUAAAUAUAUUGUUAUAUUCGUAUUAAAAUUGGUAAGGAUAAGGAAUUAAAUAAAAUUGUAUAUAACCAUACAGAACCGGAAACCGGAACCAGAACUAUAAGGAACCAAAAUCAGAACUAUGCGGUUCUGGUUCUACCUCUUUGAAGAACCAGAACCAGAACCAUUUUAUAUGGUGCGGUUCUGGUUCUACCUUUUUUAAGAACCAGAACCGGCGGUUCUAGAACCGUGGUCAUGCCUAUAUGCACGUCUUUUAUUUUAUUUUAUUUUAUUUUUUGGUACUGUUCUUCCUUGCUUUAUAGUAUGCACGUUUAUUUCUUUGGAUUGCUUAAGAUUAUAUUGUUAAUAAUAGGGCAUUUAACCAUAAAUUAUAAUAAUUAUGAAGUAAUAUAUAUUAGAAAAUUAACACAAUUAUGAUUUUUUUUUUUUGUAAAUUCAAAUUUUAUUAAUAAGAAAUGAAAUAGACCGUAAGCAAAAACAAAAUCCUACAACAACUCUAGGACUCUACACCUUAUAUAAAAAAAAACUAGGACUCUAUACCUCAGAGAAGCUAAACAAUCCAACAAAUAAAAUGCAAAAUAAAUCACAAUAACGCAAAUUAUGUUAAGCUAAUAAAUACUACCAUGCAACAAAAUUUUUGUCUUUGUCCCGCGUGAAACUACGAAGUCAAGAAUUGACUCCUUUAACCAGUAUUGCCAGCGGGGCUCCGUCAGCAAGAUACAACUUUGCAAUUUUAUACAAUAGAAAUCCUCAAAUAGCUAUUUUGACAGGCAAAUUAAGCAUUAAUUUUGGUAUCCCUUCAUAAAAUACAAGAGUACUUUUGAUUAUAUCUAUAGAUCAACUUUCUAGGCUUGAUGUAUUAUAAGAAAAAUCUGCCUAAACAUUUUGAUAGCAUUUUUCCAAAAGCAGAAGAUGGAAAAUUGCCCAUUUGUAAUGGGGAGUUCGUGAUCUUUUCCUCAUUCUAGUCUACUUACAAUUCUUGGAAAAAGGAAUACUCACAUCUCAAACAACAGCCAGCUCAUCUGCGCUGUCCUGCAGAAUUCUAGAAAGUUAGGUGGCAAUGUUAAUAACAUUUCAAAAUUGACUGCUGCGAUAACUAAUUCGAUGGCUUACUACAUGGUCAACGUUUGGAUCCCUUCCUGCCGGCACUGUCCUUUUUGGAUGCACAUUUUUUUUCUCUAGGUAAUAUAAUCACCCAACUCAUUUCUUUACAAAUGCACCUUUAAUCACCACCAAAAGGUGUGGACAUGAUCUUUACCCUAGAAAACUAUUCACCGACAGGCAAAUUGACGUCAGAAAUACUAAGAGGAAUUCUAGUUUCCUUCGGGUUAAUGCCAUUUUGUACCCUUCAACUGUAACUCGAUUUCUAAGCUGUAAUUUGUGACAUUAUAGUCCUUAAACUAUGAAACCCUUCUUACUUAAGUAUAAUGGUUAAUACAAUACUGGUGAUUAGACAAGUAUGAAGCAACCAUAACAAAAAAAAAUCCAAAAUUAGAGAAAAGAAAGAUGUUUCGCGACCAAAGUAUGUAUCAAGGCAUAGUAUAGAAAUAAAAGUGUCAAAAUUAAGAGUUUAGGGAUAAAAAAGAAUCAAGAUAUAGUUUAGGGAUUGAUUUGUCUCAAUUAGAGCUUAGGUGUCAACUAAGAAGAGAGAUAUAGUUGAAGGGUAGAAUAUAGAUAUAAAGGUUCAAUGAUUGAUAUCAGUGAGACAAUGAUAACUUUGGAUUAUUACCAACCUCUUCUGGAUGGGAAAAGGAAAUAGAGAAGAAAGUCGGGCCUGGUCUAAGCCUGUUUCGGAGGCAAAACAACAUUAUGAAAUCACCGGCAUUCAGACAAAUAUGUCAAAGUCACCGGCAUGCUAAGUUGCAAAAUUUAUACAAACACUUAAUAUUAUAUUGUUCUUAAAAUUUUUGUUUAAGAUUUAACAAUUAGAGCACGGUACACGAAUUAGAAAUAUUAAAUAAUGAAUGUUCACGAUUGAUAAAGUUAUCAAAGUACAGUUUGAGGACAACCCAUUCCAACGUGUACAAGAUGUUUAGCCUUUGAAAAGUUAAUUAGAGAAGGUGACGAGAUUUUACGAGGCUGACAUCAUCUAGGCCUCGAGAGUAAAAAAUGAAGACACUGAGCGCUAUAAAAAGAGGGCUAGAUGUUGCCUAGAAGCAUAUCAGCCUCAGACCACGUUUUGUAGCAAUGGGGAGCAAAGCAAAAGCAAUGGGGUCUAGGCUGACUCCUCUUCUUACCACCGUUUUAGUGGUAUUUCUUGCUCUUGGCUUGCCUUCAGAAACUGCAGCUGAUUACUACAAGUAUUCAUCUCCUCCUCCUCCUUACCAUUAUUCCUCACCACCACCUCCUAUGCAUUCACCCCCACCACCGCCAGUUUAUAAGUCACCCCCACCACCUUACCACUACUCCUCACCGCCACCUCCAGUGUAUUCAUUUCCACCACCUUUGCCAAUAUACAAGUCUCCGCCACCACCUUACCAUUAUUCCUCACCACCACCCCCAGUGCAUUCACCCCCACCACCACCAGUUUACAAGUCUCCCCCACCACCUUACCAGUAUUCCUCACCACCACCUCCGGUGCAUUCACCACCACCUCCUCCAGUUUACAAGUCCCCGCCACCACCUUACCAUUAUUCCUCACCACCACUUCCAGUGCAUUCACCUCCACCAUCACCGAUUUACAAGUCUCCACCACCACCUUACCAAUAUUCCUCACCACCACCUCCACUGCAUUCACCUCCACCACCACCGAUUUACAAGUCACCUCUACCGCCUCUUCCAGUUUACAAGUCUCCGCCACCACCUUACCACUAUUCCUCACCACCACCUCCGGUGCAUUCACCUCCACCACCACCGGUUUACAAGUCACCUCCACCACCUCCUCCAGUUUACAAGUCCCCGCCACCACCUUACCAUUAUUCCUCACCACCACCUCCGGUGCAUUCACCUCCACCACCACCGGUUUACAAGUCACCUCCACCACCACCUCCAGUUUACAAGUCCCCGCCACCACCUUACCAUUAUUCCUCACCACCAACUCCAGUGCAUUCACCCCCAUCACCACCAGUUUACAAGUCUCCGCCACCACCUUACCAUUAUUCCUCACCACCAUCUCCGGUAAAUUCACCUCCACCACCACCGGUUUACAAGUCACCUCCACCACCUCUUCCAAUUUACAAGUCCCCGCCACCACCUUACCACUAUUCCUCACCACCACCUCCAGUGCAUUCACCCCUACCACCACCUGAUAGGGUAUAAUUUGUUAGUAUUUUUAUUAUUAAUUUUCCCUUCUAUCCCUGACAAAUAUUGUGUUAAUUGCUGAUAUUUACUCAUAUUUGGUAUUUGGAAUCAAUUUCAGGAAUGAAGCAGAAAACUACCAAAAAGGAGGGACUUUGUGAAAAAUAUGGAGACUUCUAAGGGCUUCAAUCCUUGGGCCCUUGAAUUGGUGGGGGACCACAAGCUAGUGAAAGGCAUUUGGUCAUUUGGGCUUCAAAGAAAGCAACGUAGAGAGACUUGGAACAAGAAGUACUUGGGAGGCUUUGUCCACAUGUGUGGGGACCACCUAGAUAGCUUUUAGUCAUCUUUCUUUUGUUGCUUUAAAAGGGGACAACGUACAGAAGCAAAAGAUAUCUAGGGCUUUAGUUUUAGUUUUUAGUUUAGUUCUAGUUUUCUUUCUUUGGACUGGCCUCUGACACACGCCAGGUAUUCGACAAUAUUCCCCAACGGGGAGAUUUUCUCAUGAGGCGUGGUUAAGCUUUUCAAGGGGACACUGACGAUUUGGUUCAAUUUACUGUGAGAUCGAAUCUGUUUUAUUUUUUUCUUCAUUUUGGUUUUUAUAUGUUCCUUGAUUUUAAUUGCUAUGGCCUUGUGUAUGAUUGAUUAGUGCACAAUAAUUAAUUAUUCAUAUAGGCUAUUUUUGCUAAAUAGGGGUAAUUGAAUCCGUAAUUGUUCGUUAUCUCUACCUCAGUAGCAACUGGCGUAAUUGGGUUUAUGUCAGGGGAGCAUAUGAUCUAAUUUAAACAAACCCUCGUAGCGUAUUUGUUGGUUAGGAUUGGGCCUUUCUAAUUAUUAUGCAAUCUAGAAAUUAAAUCCUACGGUCGUACCUAGGGUUAUUUUUGGGUUAGAGAAAUAGCUAACGGUCGUACCUUAGCUAUCGAGAAAUUAAGGAAGGGUUGGUUGUUUAUCGCGUGCAUGACAACUAUAACUAAUCUAUUGCUAAAUGUUGGAAUUAUUUCUGCAUCAAUGAUCAGUGCCUGAACCAUUUCUGAAGUGUACCCUUGGCUAGAGUUUCUCUUAAUUAUUUCUUUUAAUCAAUUAUUUUCUGCACUUGAUUUAUUUAGUUAGCAUUUAAUCCAAGAACCUCCCAUACUCUGGACUCUAGAAGAAACGAAUUAUCCCCAAUCCCUGUGGAUUCGACCCUGCUCGCCGCUAUAUACAAAAUCUGUAUUUUUCUUGAGUAGGUAAUUAUUAUUGCACAGGUUCGGCACCUGUCACCACCAGUUUACAAGUCUCCGCCACCACCUUACCAUUAUUCCCCACUACCACCUCAAACGCAUUCACUCCCACCACCAGUUUACAAGUCACCGCCACCACGUUCUCCAGUAUACAAAUCACCUCCACCACCUCCUCUAGUUUACAAAUCUCCACCACCAUCAAUUGAUAAAUACAAGUCUCCUCCAGUGUACAAGUCAUCUCCACCACCUGCUUACAAGUCUCCACCUCCUUCAGUUUACAGUUCCCCACCACCACCAAUCUACAAGUCUCCACCUCCACCCUACCAUUACUACUACAAUUCUCCUUCUCCUCCUCCUCCUUCUCACUACUAAGCAGUUGUAUCCAAGUUUUUGAGGUAAUAACGCUUAACCAAUAAAUUAACUUUCGCAUGAUAAACCUUAUCCCUAUCAAGACAAACUGCCAUGUGUAUCAUGGCAAAUCCGUACACUUAGAUCCAUGAAAAUGAGUGGUAGAAGGUUUUCUUAAGAACCAAGGAACAGCAAUAGUAUUCCCACUGCUUCCAAAAACUUGUGUAUUAAAUAGAUUAACGAAUUGUUUAACAUGCUUAUCUACUUGAAAAUGCACAAUACCCAUAACCCAUUGAAAUUUUUGCAGGAAAAGGGGAAGAGAAUCUGUGUUUGAGAGCUUCAUGAAGAUGUUGAAGAAUAAGAAUAAAAGCCCAAUGCGAGGAUGUUUUCAAGUUUUUCUAUGUUUCCACUUUAAUUUGUAAAUUGAAUUUUGCGACUCAAUUAAUUCCCUGUUUGUGGGGUACAUAUUGUUUUACGUACCAUGCCGUACAUGUUUGUAAGGAUUUCUAUCCUAUUGGCAAAAGUCGGUUCCAUACAAUUAAUCAAUUCAUUUCACUUCUAUUGGCUCUACUAUUUAUGCAUGUUACGACAUUUUUUCUCUCUUUCCCUUAUAUUUUGCCUUUAAUAUUAUUGAGUCAAUAGUAAAAUUAUACUAUUAUAAAUAGGUAGUUUGGUCUAACGCUAAAUUCAUGUUUGUCUUUCUUUUAUUCCCUUUACAUCUCAAAGUAUACCAUAGUUUGUGAUCAUUGUGGUGAUGAUACACUACAACAAAAAUGGCCUUUCCUGACAUGUCUAUAAGGACACUUGCUGGUUUUUGUCAUUAUAGCACUUCUAUCAUGACAUUUGUUAUCAAUUCACUAAUUUAUACUUUUUUUUAUUUUAUCUGAUAUAAAAAUAAUAAUGUGUCUUUAGAUUUCCUAUCAUGGCAUUUUAGAAAAUGUGAGAUACAACGAAAAAAUUAAAACAUAAAACGAUGUCGUUUGAUUUUGACGGAAGAUUCAUUUGCCAAAACACUUAGUGAAAUCUCAAAACUUUCAUUGUGUCGAUUCUUCUCCUCUCUCUCACAAACCCUCUCUCUCGGCAGACUAUCUCUCAAAACUCCCCCAUUUUGGUUCUUUUGUCUUCCGCCUUCGCCGCCGCCCCACUCCUCCAUUUUCGGUUGCUAACUUGGCCGCUUCUCUGCCCUAUUCGGUCAACCACGACACCUACACCAAUAAGUCUUCGCUCUCUUUGCUAGGACAAAAGGAAUAAAAAAACAGAUACUCAUGUUCUUUCCUUUUUCUUCUUUCCUCUGAAACCGAUCCCCAUGCUUCUCCGUACUGACUAGAUAUUCAGGUUGAGCGUGUUGAGGAGUAGAGUAGGCGAAGGUUGCCGCCAUCGUCUCAUUGAAGUCCAGCCACUACAGCGGAAAUCAUCACUGUAAAGUUUCCCGUACUCUUAUACCUUUUUUCCCCCUUAAUUGUAUUGUUUUCUUCUUUGUCUGCAAUCAUGUCGGUUAUGCUUUACUUUCGUCUUGUUAAUCGAUUUUAAGUGGCUGGAAUUGAUCAUAGGUUUGAGUAGAGUUUUAGAUUUAAAAUUCAAGCUCAGGCCGUAUAAGGAACUGAUGAAAAAGAAAUUUCAAAACUUUUCAUCCUCACUACUUGUUUGUCGGAAGGUUCGAAUGAAGAAAGAAGGAAAUUUGCAAUGGAAGUGAACAGAGAGAGAUGAAAGUGAUUGGAGAGUGAAAUUUUGCCUUGGUGAACUUUUCUUUUGUUUUUGAUCAUCAAGUGCAAUAGAAAAGUACAUUUAGUACAAUUUCCUAACUAUCUUAGAGGAAAUCUUGUUUGGAACUUUCGCUGGAUGCUAUGCAACUUAUUUUUGAUGCUUUGGUCAUGAUUGUUGUUCUGUUUGCUACAGCCCCAUAAGAAGGUUUUUUUUUAAUUAUUAUUAAAAAUUACCGCAUAGCUUGGAUACUUUUGCAUUCCAUGCACCAUGUCAGCUAUUCAUAGCACAUAGCACUAAAGUAGAGCACUCUGUAAUUUUGGAGAUGUUUCAUCUACGCAUUCAAUUAUUUCGAGUUUUUAGUCCAAUGGGUAAUAAAUUGGUUGUACAUCACUUAUUAUGUUGCAUCCCAGUUAUAUUGACCUAGAACAAUUACCAUAUAGACAAAAAGAAGAUAUUAACUGCAGCAAAUUGAAGAAUAAAAAGAGUAUUUGUCAAAUCUUUUCUCCCAACAUCCCUCGUAAUUCUUUCCCCCAACCUCAACUUAGGCACACAUUGUGUCUCUCCUUUUCUUCUUCAAACUAAAUGUUCUUCUCAUGGACAAAUAAGAAUAAUUUGAAUUUAUGAGGAUACAGAGGAAGAGAAUGAAGAUGGAGAAGUUAAUUGUUAUAACUCCAGUUAUGAUAAAGUUGAAGAUGACUUUACAUAAGAUGGAUUAAGUGACUAGUGCUCUAUUGUAAGAUGCUGGGUGCAUAUCUUAAUUUCUUUGAAUUGACUUUAUAUCUCAAAAAAAAAAAAAAUUGAAGGGAUUCUAUAUUUAUUUGACUUGUGUGGUAUUUAUUUGUGUGACUGUCUUGUUUUUUGUCUGCUUUUAUGAUCUAGAGCAUUGAUUACUCUAUAUUUUUAGACAAGAAUAUAUUGUUUUUGUUGUAGAAUUUCUGUAGAAAAAAUACAGAUCUUGCACAUUAAACCCAAUGGGGACUGUUUGCACUAUAAUGCAUUAUGGGCAACUAACAAAUUGGGAUUUGCUAGCCAUUCAAUAUUUUGUAAAUCCUCUGCAGUGUAACAUACUGGAAAUUGCCUUUCAGUUACAGUCUCCAGCGAAGUGUCCUGAUUUAGUCUUUCAAGUUGGAAUGUGACUAAUAGUUUCUUAUCUUUUAAAAGUUUGCCAAUUUCAGGAGGAUUGGUUACAUAGUUUUUUAAGAUUUCUUUCCUCCAGUGGGCACUUAAAAAAAUAGUGAUUAUUGAGUGCUUUGAUCUGUUGAAAUUUAAUUGAAAAUUUUCCGAUCAUUAAUUGACACACUUCAAAAUACUAAUGACUACAUAUGUCAAAGCACAACCUAGGAAAUUAUAUCAGCACGUGCUCCGAUUGUAUGGUACUAAACUUGCAGUGCUUCCACAAAGAAUGUGAAGAGCACAUAUAUACUGAUCAUUGAAAAGAUAGAUUUCUAUUAUGAUUCUGCUAAUGUUUGAAGCACUAAAUGUGAAAUUGCUAUCUAUUUUGAAUGAGUAUCUGUUUCUAUGAAAACUUUGGACAAAUAUGCAUAUGACAAUAGUUUCUAAUGAAGUUACAAACGAUGCUGAACCUUUGGCAUUAUACCAAGAAGGUGUUAAUCAAGUUAACUGGUUACACUUCUAAGCCCUUGCCUGUGGGCAGAAUCUGAGCUAGCUUUAUUCAUUUGUAGCAAGAAGUAAUUUUGCAUGCCAAUGCCAUGCAUUGUUGACUAACCUGUCGCAUUCAGUGUUUGGACAGGUGGGAGUAUAUUGGCGGCACUUGGUUCCUUUCAGCAAAUUUGGUUUUCAAAAUCUGAGUAAGCUUUUACAUCUACUCUACCUUUCAAUAUUCAACUUUUCUUCUUUUUUUCUCCCCAUUUUCAGUCUGUUUUAUCUCUCGAUUAAUAGGUUUGAGGAACAUGGAACUUCUUAUGUUCAAAGAAAAUGCCCGUAAAGUACUUUACUGGUGCGGACAAUUAUCACAUUAGACAGAAAUUCAUGGAGCUGACUUCACUUUGAUUAGUUCGCUGACGGUAUGGGUUGCUCGGUUUUAAUAUCCUGCUUUAUAGGAGCCCAAGCAAUGUACUAUAUAUAUACUAUACCUCUCGCGGAUCGUUGCUAAUGUUGUACAAUUACGUUACCUGACUUUUAGCAUUUCUUUCAACUGGUUAGGGAUGAGAGUCUUUUUGUUUGUGCACAAGAAAGUCUUUCAAGUUAUUGUAAAUGAGAAUCUUUCGGUAAUUUUUUGGGAUUUUAGUACUUGCUUUGAGCAUUUGUUUGCGAUUUUAGUACUUGCUAUGUUUGUACUUGUUAUUGACUUUUAAUUCAAUGAAUUAUAUUUGAGUAUCGACUUCUUCUUUUAAAUUGCUAUAUGCAUUCUGCCUUUUGGGAUAAUUUUACAAGUCCCUUGGGAUUCUGGUUGAUGGAAUGUACAGCAGGGAGGACUAAUUACAGGUUGCUUCCAUAUGAAAAAAAAACAGGAAAAAACUCCUGGCAAUUAGAAGUGUCAGCAUAGCUUAGCUUCAAAAAACACUAAUGACAAAUGGGCAUGUCAUCCAAAGCAGUGUAAAUUCACAUGGCUACGUGUCCUUAAAGCCAUAUAUUAAGACAAUUCAAGAUGCCUUCAUAAAUUGGAUAUACUACUAAUCCGCUACUGAUGUUCUAAUGCUAUACGGACACUUUCGAUUAUCACAAAAAAAAGUUUUUGUUGGCAGAGGGAAUGCUAUAGCAGCAUGGUUUUCCUGACACAUUUGAAUGUUGCCAAAGAUUUGAGGCUAUCCCCACAUUGGAAGGGACAACACUCGCCCUAGGUGUGAGGAUAGAUAAAAUGUCAGGUUAGAUUAUCUAUACUGACACCUUUAAAUGCCGCUAAAGGCCAUUUUUGUUAUAGUGAUAUUACCGGCUGGUACAUAUAGUUUAAGGCAAAGACAUGAUAUUAACCUAUCUCAUUGAAACAUAAGGAAAAAUCAUGACAAGUGUGAGUCUUGGAUAAUGCACAAUUUGUAAGUGGAAUUUAUACUUAUAAAACUCAAAAAAAAAAUUUCACAAUGCUAUUACUAAUUAAUUAAGGACUUUAUUGCUAUAAUUUAUCGCUUACUAGUUUAAACUGUAAAUGAUCUCAAUAUUUUUCUCCGUGAUGUCGAUUUCUUUAGACUACGAAAGGGAAAAAUUAGUGACGUAUCCCCUACUUAGUUAUAAACUUUUCCAGUGGUUUUAAAUCCCUCGGGCUAAGGACGUACACUUGAUCCAUGAAAAUGACUAGUAGAAGAUUUUUUUUAAGAAUCAAAGAAAUGCAUUAUUUUUUCGGUCUGUUUUCAAGAAUUUGAGCAGUAUACAGAUUAAAGAGUGUUUUUUUUUAAACUUGCUUAUCAACAUAGAAAUGCACAUAGCUGAAAGCCAACUGAAUAUUUGCAGGCAAAGGAGAAGGCAAUCGGUGUUUGAGACCGUCAAGAAGAUGUAGAAGAAUAAGAAUAAAAGCCCAAUGCGAGGAUGAUUCCAAGUUUCUACGUUACUAUUUCUACAUCUAAAUUGACUUUAGCUCCUGAGUUCCAUGUUUAUGGGGUUUGUACCGUUUUACGUACCAUGCAGUACAUGCUUGUAAGGUUUUCUGUCCUGUUGGCAAGCCGCAAGUCCAUAUAAUAAAUGAAUACUAUUUAUAUUACGACACUUUUCUCUCUUUCUCUUAUAUUUUGUCUUUAAUAUUGUUGAUCAUUUUUUUUAUCAAAAGUAUCAAAUGCUUAGGUAAUUUGGUCUAAUGCUAAUUGUUUUACUUUUAUUUUUCACCUACAUCCCUUUUCAACUCAAAGGAUGCUACAGUUUGUGAUCAUUGUUUAAGACCGAAGCAUGGUACUAAUAAAUAUCUCAUUGAAAGUCAAGGAAACUAACAUUAUGAAAAGUGUAAAUCUUGAUUUGAUGAAACUAUUUAUUCGUGGAAUUUAGAGAUACAAAACUCAAAUUGUGACGGUGUUGCUGCUAAAUUAUUAAGGACAUUAUCACCAUUAUUUUUCCCUCACUAGUUUCAUCUGCAAUGAUCUCAAUCUUUUUGUAUUGAUCGGUUGUAAUGAAUCGCGAUUGAUUGGUUGUAAUCCGCUUGUAUUGAUCCCACUAUUGUGGAUACUUCUACGCUCAACAAAAAAUAUAUAUAUUAAAGAAUUAGCAAUAUUUUUUAGAACAAGUUAAAUUUAUUCAUACAAAUUAGACAAAGAAGUAUUUUAAAGACCAUGAUGAAAUUAAUACUUCCAAGGUCUCUAUUAGGAAGACUUCCUUGCCUUGAGUUGCAGUUGCGUGCAGAUGUUUAUAUUUCAAAUUGAUGGUAUAGUAAAAAUGUUGAAUUUCUUUAUCCCCGUGACUUCAAAAAUAUGAACUCAAGAAAUUAACUUCUUAACCAGUAUGUCAUACAAGCUUCACAAGAAAUGUAUAACUUUGCAACUAGAGUCAAUAGAAAUCGUCACAUAAUUAUUAAUUUUACAUCGAAAUUAAGCCUGUAUGACAUACUGGUUCGAGGUUUGGCCACGCUACCUUCCUAUUGUUUAAAAAUUCUCACAUAAUCCCUUGUACUUUGGACUAAACUCGAAUGUGAAAAGAAACCAUCCAAGCUAGUUUGGGAUACACUUGUUGCACUUUGAACUAAACUUGAACGUGAAAGGAAAUCCCAAAACCAUAUUGGGCAUGAAUUCACACUUAAUAGACCCAAAAAAAGAUGGCGACUGGUGAUGGAGGUGAAAGGCAGUGGGGACUGGUGGAGAGAUUUGAGGAAUAGAAGCAGACGAAAAAGCAACAAAUUUUUGCCAAAAAACGGUGACUUUCAUGGUUAAUAUUGCUACUCUCUAAUUGUACUUGACCAAUACAACAGUGAAAUUGUAAUUUAUGCUGAAGAUGGAGUUUGAUACGUGAAGAGAAUUUUUUAUAAAUUUUAUUUUGACCCAUAAUGUUAUCUUUAGAUACAAAAAAUAUUUUAAAAUUUUGAUUUUGGCCCGGUUAACUUUUGGUAAACAAAAAAUGCUCAUGCUUAGUGACAGGUUGUCGAUGCCUGUGCAAAAAUAAAAAUAAAUCUAGUUGCCAAUUAAAAUAAUCAGAGCCCAAUUCUGAGUACUGGAGCAGGGACUCUAGGUGUGCAAUGGGUUACUUGAUUCACUCUAUUUCCGAAGAGUUUGCUUAACCCGAUAUACCAGAAUGGGAUUGCUUAUUCAAAAGGAAUUGUUGAUUUGUAAACAGGGCAAGUAGGGUCGUAUUCUCAGGUGGGCUGGCGGUGCGCGGUCAAUCGACGGAGAAAGAGAGGAAAGGACGCGGGUGGAGGUUUUUGGGUUUUGGCCAAGAGAAGAGGGAACGCAGGGAAAGAGAGAGAGAGGGGCGGUGCUCGGGAAGGUGAGCGGCGGACGACGGCUAGGAGGGAAAAGGAGGAGCGGCGUGCGAAGUUAGAGAGGAGGAGGGAGGCGGCAUACGAAGGAAAAAGAAAUCAAGGAAGAAGAAAGAAAGAAAAGAGGAAGAAAGAAAAGAAGAAGGAAAAAAAAUAGUUUUUGGGUUUUUUUUCAAUUUUUUUUUAUUUUUUUGAAUUUAAAUGUCAAAUUUUGAAUUUUUGAAAAAAAAAACUGAAGGUUAAAAAGGAAAAUAAUUUUAUUUUGCUAAAAAAAAAUUUUUAUUUUUUUAUUUUUUUUUGUUUUGGAUCGUCAAACACAGCGUGGGCACGCCAAAAUUAUAAAACGUCCACUGAUCUUGGGAGUCACUGACACGGCGUGGGCACGCCAAGAUUUCACUUCCUGCCAACGUCGCGAGAUGUUGAAAUUGUACUAACAUGGCGUGGGCACGCCAAGAUUGGUAAACAUCCACUGGCCUUGGGAGUCACUUUUUGAGUGUCCUCCUCGCGUGGGCAUGCCAAGAUUCUAUGUCCUGGUCACAUUGGAGAAAAAUAUGAAAAUUGACUAGUACCCAAAUGAAAAACGACAAAUCGAAAGAAUUGAACAACAAAAAAUAAUAAAGCUAAUAUUUGGGUUGCCUCCCAAAAAGCGCCUUUUUUAACGUUUUUUGUUAGACGUUGAACACCACUCUUCAAUUUGGAUGUAAUUCAAUUUUCCUUGUAAUCGGUGGUCCUACUCCGGGUUCCAAAUAAUCAUUGAGUGCAGCCUUCUUUCUUUAUUUUCUAUUCAUUUUCACCUCAUAAAUUGCUUUCAUUCCCUGAUAUUUGUUCGCAAGAAUUUUGAAUUUACCCCUACAACCAAACUCAAAAAAUUCUUGCACAAAGGAAUUAGUAGCAUGAAUAGCAAACACAGAAUGAGAGUUAACAGUAUGUUUUAUUGUAUUAAAAAUAUUAAAAUGGACUAUUUCUCCAUCGAAUUCCAUUGUGAGAGUACCCUUACUAACAUCAAUCUUAGUUUGGAUAGUACUCAAGAAUGGCCUUCCUAAUCUAAUGGAUGAUGGAUUUGGGACACUUUCAUCAUCCAUAUAAAGCACAUAAAAAUCAGCAGAAAAAAUUAAUCCAUCUACUUGCACUAAAACAUUCUCAACUACCCUAUCUGAAUAAGUAAAUAUACGAUUAGCCAAUUAAAUUAUUAUCCCUAUUUCUUUUAAAGAUCCUAAAUUUAGGGAAUCAUAAAUUGAUUUAGGCAUCACAUUAAUAGAAACUCCUAAAUCUAGCAUGGCAUUUUUUAGAUUAGAAUGUCCAAUCUUACAUGGGAUAGUAAACAUACCUAGAUUCCCGUAUUUAGGUGGUAGUUUCCUUUGUAAAAUUGCUGAAAUGUUCUCAUCUACCACAAUAUGCUUGUCCUCCCUCAAUUUCUUCUUGUUGACACACAAGUUUUUCAAGCAUUUAGCGUAUUUUGGCACUUAUUUGAUCGCGUCCAACAAAGGAAUAUUGAUUGCCACCUUGCGAAAAAUGACGGAAUUUUUAUAUCAAUGCAAGUUUAAAUUCGAUUUUAUACCCGUUGACUGCAAGUAUACAGGCCGAAAUUGUAAUGUAGGGUAUGUAUCGGGUCGAUCCCACGAGGAGCAAAUUAAACAAGUACUAAGCCCUUAUUUUUCUCUAUUAUUUAGACUCACAAUAAAUUUGAACAGAGAAAGUAUAUUGCUAAAAUUUACAAAUUUGAUAUACAAAUAUAAUUUAACAAAUGCUAAAUGCAAAAGAAGAAAUUUCACUCAAGGAAGAAUUUAGGGAUGUAGAUUCCACUUAUGGCAUAAACAACACAAAUGAAUGGAUUUACCUCUUAUUAUUAUUCUUGUUUAACUAGGGAUUCAUUUCCAAAAUUAUCAAGUCUCAUUUUCAUGAUGAAAUGGCCUAGACCAAUAUAGUUUUCCCUAUUUUCAUGGUGAAAUACUACUACUACUCUGUUUUAUUUCAUGAAAUGCUGAAUAAUCCACCUAAGUGUAUCUCUAUUUUCAUGAACAUACAACUUAAGCUCUACUCAUUUAUUUCCAUUGUUACUACCAAUUCUCAUUGAAUAAUAACAACUAUAAACAUACUAUUGGUGAUCAAUCAAUAACAAGUAAUCACAACUACACAAGUAAACAAGUUAAUACAAAAUAUAACAAGUGUAAAUCACAUUCAAGUCAUAUUAUUUAGCCAUAAGUUUCAUCUACUUCCUAGAUAAAGAAAAUUAGCUACUCAUGAAUGAUUUAACAAUCAAACUCACAAGUUUAUUAAUGCAAAAUAUCAUAAAGUACAAGUACAAGAAAGAUAAAAGAAAUCUUAGCCAAUUGAUGGUGAAUCCCUCCAAUUUCUGCUAUGUUCUUGUACAAGAUGAUUACAACUGAAAACUCCAAAUGCUUCUCUAAGGACUCCUAGCUAGAGAGAAAAUGUUACAAGAAGGAAAAACUAGCUACGUAUGGUCCUGUCCUGCUUCUCCCCUGUGUUUUUGCAUAAAAGGUAGUAGAAAGUCUAUUUUCCUCUUCAUAAUUUCCUCCAUUCAGAUUUUGUAAAAAGAAGUCAAAGAUAUGAUGUUUCCUUUUUUCUACAACUCAUUUGGUCUUCUCUUUUGUUGCAGAAGCAUGUGCCACCGAUUUCUAUCCCUCAAAAUAGUUGAAAAAAUUGUGAGAAAGGUAAAGAAAAACAGCUGUGUCACUUGCUGAGCAGAGAGACAAAUCCGAGCCUCGGAUCCGGGGGUGAAACUGGAUCCGAGGACUUCCCAAGGUGGAUCCGAGGUCGGAUCGUUCUGACCUUGGAUACACUCCUCCAAAAGUACAUACGAGGGCUCGGAUCCCUCUUGUUCACACGGAUCCGAGCUCGAAUCCGUGUUGAUUAAAUUUUCAGUUUUUCACUUCUUUCCUUUUUCUACAUUUUUGCUCCCAAUUUCUUUUGUACUUUGUCCUCUGGAUGAUCCUUGCAUUUCUUUCAACUUCGUGCACGAAUUUCAUACAUCAAUAACCUUCACAAUUUCACAAAAUUAACUCAUUAAUCCACUCAUUUAUCAAGUUUUGAACACUUAAACAAUAUUUUAAGUAAUUAUCACUAAAAGAGUUCAAAUAUGGCUUUAAUCUUCUCAAAACAUGCCAAAGAUUCAUGCCAAAUCUGUACAAAAUGUACGUUAAAUAUUCACUUAUCAAAAAACCUCUAAAAUCUCCUUUUCUUUAUCUUGCUUCUUUGAUUUCUCUAACCUGCUCGGAAAAGGCGGUAAGUUAGUUCCAACUCUAAUUAUAGAAUCAGGAAUUAUCUUUGGAUUCGCAUUUCUCAUUCCUUCCUCCUCAAGCUCUUUGUCAAUUCAAUCUUCAUUUUUAUCUUUCGGAAUCACAAGUUCGGAUCUCUGAAUUUUCUUCCCGUUCCUUAAGAUCAUUGCACUUACAUUUUUCAGGUUCAGUUCAGGUUGAGACGGUAAUUUUUCAUAAACUUGGGAUUCCAGGCGGUUGAUUGCUAUUGCCAUCUAACUCAUCUGAUUCUGCAUUACUUGCAUCUGUCCCAAUUGAUUUUUCAUACUUUGUAGGUCAGAAUCCAUUUUUUGUUGAUUAGCAAUUAAUUGCUUCAUCAUCUCUUCUAUAGACAGACUUGAGUUUGAAGGAGGUGGUGGCGGGCGAGACUGAUACUGUUAUUGAUACCCUUGCUGUCUAUUUGGUGUAAAAUCUGGCUGCCUAUUUCCUCCAUAGUUGAGGUUGGAAUGAUCUCUCCAACCAGGAUUGUAUGUAUUCGUGUACGGGUCGUAUGGCUUUCUUAGCACGGGCGCGUAACCAGCCAUGUUCACUUGCUCCGUACUUUUCUCUUGAAUCAUUGAGCACAUCUCUGUAGAAUGACCCAUAGCAGUGCAGAUCCCACACAAUUUGGCUCGUGAUGUAUUUCCUAUAGCUAAUUGCCUAACAAAGGAUGUUAAUUCGGUCAACUGCUAUUGGAUGGAAUAUGUCUCUACCUCAUUUACUUUGCGUGUCGGGACAUCUUCCCUCGUAUCAAACUGUUACGAAUUCUCCGUCAUUCCUUCAAUUAGCUCCUACGCUUCUCAAGAAAUUUUGUUCACCAAUGCCCCUUCACUUGCAGCAUCAAUUAUACUCCUGUCUCUAAAAAACAGCCCCUCGUAAAAAUAUUGGAUGAGCAAUUACUCACUUAUUUGGUGUUGAGGGAACUUGAUGCAUAACUUCUUGAAUCACUCCCAAUAAUCAUAAAGCGACUCUUCUAGAUACUGCUUGAUACCGCAUAUCUCCUUCCUUAGGCUUGCAGCUCGAGACGCAAGAAAAUAUUUGUUCAAAAACUUUUUCUUCAACUGAUCCCACGUGGUGAUGCUACUUGGUGGUAAGUAGUACAGUCAGUCUUUUGCGGAGUCCUUCAAGGAGAAGCAGAAUGCUCUCAUUUUUAUCUGUUCUUCUGUAAUUUCCGGAGGUUUCAUACUGUUGCAAACGACAUCAAACUCUUGCAAAUACUUAUACGGUUCCUCACCUGCUAAAUCAUAAAAAGAUGACAAGAGAUGAAUUAGACCAGAUUUUAACUCAAAUGGAGUGGUUAUCAUUUAAAUAUGGAAAAGUAAUACAUAAGGGCUGCUGUUUUAAAUCAGGAGCAGCAAACUCCCUUAGUAUCCGUGCAUUAGCCAUAGUGACUUCUUCUCGAUCCGAGUCACUAGAAGUAUCACUAUGUGAAUCUGUUAGUUCAACUUCUGGCUUAGGUCUUUGAGAUGAAGCACUGGAGUGCUCUUCUCUAAGUUGUCCGGUCUCUUUCCUUAUUUUAUGCGCAGUCUUCUCUACCUCGGGGUCAAAAAUUAAUUCACCUGUAUGAGAAGAAUGAGGCAUAUACUAGGAAAGCACUAGAAAAUUAGAACAAAAAUGAACCUAAAAAGAAACAAAUAAACCAACACCAGUCCCUGACAACGGCGCUAAAAAUUGACAGGUUAUCGAUGCCUGUGCAAUAAUAAAAAUAAACCUAGUUGCCAAUUAAAAUAAUCAGAGCCCAAUUCUGAGUACUGGAGCAGGGACUAUAGGUGUGUAAUGGGUUACUUGAUUCACCCUAUUCCCGAAGAGUUUGCUUAACCCGAUAUACCAGAAUGAGAUUGCUUAUUCAAAAUGAAUUGUUGAUUUGUAAACAGGGCAAGUAGGGUCGUAUCCUCAGGGAUUGGAAAAAAUUUGUUUCUUUUCAAAUCCACAGUAACAAGGAGGUGUUUUUGUAUAAACGAUAACAAUCUAAGGAGUGCAAAUAGAAAUAAAUAGAUAACUAGAAAUUAAAUGACAAUUCACUAAAAUUAGAAUAAUAAUAAUUAAAGGUCUAGCCAAGAAAUAAUUUCAGCAAUGGUUCACCUAAUUGAUCAUCGACGCAAAGGCAAUUCCAAUUAUUUACUAAUAAAUAGAUUAUAACUGUCAAACAAGUGAUGAUAGUCAACCCCUCCUUACUGUAUCAGUGAUUAAGGUAUGUCCGUUAAUCACUGCUAUAAUUGAGAAAUAAUCUUAGGUACGUCCGUAAGAUUUAAUUCCCCAAUUGCCUUACGUAUUAGAGGAGCCCUAUUCUAACCAAAUAACGCACUAUCAGGAUUAUUUUAAAUUAGCCCAUGUAUUCCCUUGAUACAAACCCAAUCAUGCCAGUUGUCACUAUUUCAAGGCAAUGAAACAAUUACGGAUUUAAUGCCCUAAUUGACUAUAGGUUACUAAAUCAAUUCACUAUCUCGAUCCAAGAUAAUCAAUCAAUUUAACAACUAAUAGCACUGCAAUCGGAGAAUAUGUAAAUACCAAUAAAUAAGAGGAAAAGAUAAAAUUAAAUCGAUCUCACAAUUUUUAGACAAACCAAAGCAUCAGUUAUUUCUUGACUAGAAAAGAAAAUUUAGUUCAUUCCUAAUGCGAAAGACCCACGCGAGAAUUCAAAAAUAAUAUUCACGGACAUCGUCUUGAUCCAGUAGAUUCAAUUGCGUUGGAAUAAGGAUAAAAAACCAAACUACAGAGAGUGAUUCAUUGUUUUGUUUCGUCUGCACUUUUUCUACACAUACGGAAGAAGAAAAACAACUAAAGGAUGAAAAAAGAAAAGUCAAAGAAAGCCACCCAAAGUAGUGCUUGGUCUCUACCAUCCUAUUUCCUAUCUAAUUACUACUUCCCUUCUGCGGCUGCCUAGAGGAAGAAAGAAAAGGAGACUCCAGGUCUUGUUCCAUCUCCUCCCUUUUCGGCAAUUCCCCAAAAGUAGAAAAGUUCCUCCGUUUACCAAAAUGCCCCUGGAAUGAGGACCGCUACUUGAACUCAUUUCCUGAUGACUGUCAAAUUGACACUUGUUAUGGUAUUUGCGUUCCACUCCCUGUAAUAAAUGCAAAUUGUCAAAAGUGAGUAAAAUUUGACAAUUAAUUUAAAUCGGGUCAGGUAAUAGGGGAAAUUAAUUAUAAAAUAAAUGAUAAAAUUGUAACCUAUCACUUAGAAUAACUAGAAAUAAAACAAAACAAGAAAUGAAAGAAAUAAGAGGGGUAGCAUAGACAUUUUGGAUUUUUCUGUUAAUUUGGAUGAUUUCCACCCACGGUCUAAUUUAAUCCAAAACACAAAUGGAUUAUGUGGAGGUUUUUAAACAAUGAGGGAGUAUCAUGAUCGAAUUCUAAAACACAAAGGGGAUUUACUAUAUUUUACUCUUAAAUUUUGGUUUCAUCUCAUAGCAUACAAGAGUACUAUUUCACUGUCUGUCGACAAAGAUUUUCUAUGGUUGAUGUACCAUAGGAAAAAUCUGCCUAUACCAUCAUUUGGAAAAAUUAUCAAUCCAAACAUAGCCACCAUAGCAUUUUUUCAAAAACACAAGAUGGAAAAUUGUCCCCUUAAACGUUGAAAUUCAUGAUCUUUCCUCGACCUAGUCUACUUGUCAAUUCUUGAAAAAAGAAUAGUCACGCCUAAAACACGGCCUCUUCAUCUGCAGAAUUCUAAAAAGUUAGGUAAACUCUAUAAACAAGUUGAUAGGUACAAUCGUACCCAAGAUCAAGUACAGGUAUUUGUACAUUCACUGCUGCAAUAACUAAUCUGAUGACUUACAAACACAUCAUGGUCAAUCGUUGAAUGGUAAUGAGUCUUUUGUUAUGCAUUAGUAUUAGUGUGUACACUCUAAUAGAUUGAUACUUAUACACUUUAAAUUAUCAUAAUAAUACCCUUAAUUAACUUUAACUCUUAAAAAGAAUACGUGUUAAUACACGAGAGUGUGUAAUAGAACGGCAAGCAUUAUGGUGGUCAUUGAGCAACUUAUAGGAGAAAUAGUCCUAUAAGCUGUUCAAUGACCAAUCACAACUUGCUAAUUGGAUGACUAAUAUAGCUCUAGCUGUAAUGUUUUAAUUAAAUUCCAUCACUAACGUUGGGAUGACUUUUUAACCAAAAAAAAAAGCCUUAGUUCAAGCUCUUCCCUUUAUUGUGCAUUUUUUAAAACAUUUGAUAGGCACUGCAAAUCUGUCAUUUUGGACAUUUUAUUAUUAACUAACCAUGAAAGCCGUGGACAUCAACCCAUAUCCAACAGAAUAUUAAAUUAAUAUUAGAAAAAAUUAUUAAGUAAUUGGAAAAAAAAAAGAAGAGACUAAUUUUCAUUGAAACCCACCGACAAACUAUACGUGUCCAUAGCUUUUGAUUAGUGCAUUCAACGUUUAAUUGUAUAGUCCAGUUCAUAGCCGAUUACAUGGAGUAAAGAUUGUGCUCUUUCCUUUUUCACCCCUUUUGGAAUCGAUACUGUGGAGAAUUGGGUUUUUCCCUCCUUUUUUUCUUUUCUUUCCUUCUGUGCUUUGCAAAACAUAGGUAAAAAUAUGAAAUCCGAAGCAUUCUUUAAUUGGGAUUAAGUAUUGUUCUUGAAAUUAAAAAGAAGAAAGAAAGAACAACAAAAAUCCCAAUCUGGGUUGAUUGUUGAGCUCUAGUUUGGCGGCAUCGUGCUUCCAUAGAAGUUCUCUUAGUGUGAUACGCUGCUUUCAAUCAGUUUAACACGGGAAAAAGAAAAGACAUGAAAAGCAAAUUUUGUGGGGAUAAUUUCAGAAAUCUCUCCUGAAGUUUUUUACUAUUUUACUGGCCUCCUUUCAAAUUUUAAAAAUUACACUAGUCUUCCUUGAGAUUAUUUAUCUUGUAACAUUUAGGUCCAAUCAAUAAUUAAAAGAUGAUAUUAUGAGAGAGAAAAAAAUAUGAUUUUAUCAUUGCCCCCAUCUUACUACAUUAUUGAAUUAAUUUAAUAGCAACCCACACAUUAAAGAAAAAUACUAAUAUUUGCUGUUUUUCAUUGAAGAUCAAAUCACAUGUGCCAUAAAAUAUAGUAUAUCAUUUUAUAUAUUUCACUUAAUGUAAGAUCCAAAUUAUUCUUUUCAAUUACAAAUCCAUUGUUAUUAUAAAAAAAAAAAUAAACUUUAACAUCAUAAAUAUUCUUAUCAAAAUAUUAAAGUUAGUUACUAAAAUUUUUAUGGUGUUAAAGUUCACUCUUUGUAAUAUUUAUGGGUUUGUAAUUGAAAAGAAUAAUUUGGAUCUUACAUUAAGUGAAAUAUAUAGAAUGAUAUACUAUUUUUUAUGGCAUAUGUGAUUCAAUCCUUGAUGAUAAAAAGCAAAUUCAAGUGUUUUCUUUAAUGUUUGUGCUGAUAUUAGAUUAAUUAAAUAAUUUAGUAGAUGAAAGAAAAUAGUGAAAUCAUAUUAUUUUUUCUUUCCUAAUAUCACUUUUUAAUUAUUGGUUGAACUUAGAUAUUACAAAAUAAUAAAUCUCAAGGGAGAUUAGUAUAAUUUUCAAAAUUUGGAGAGAAGCUAAUGAAAUAAUCAAAAACCUUAAGGGAGGUUUACAGAAUUAUCCCAAUUAUGUGGGAAUUAGAAUAAUUGUACUGGACGGCACUGCUGCAAUAGAGGGAAAGAGGAGAAGGUGCAGUUAACUUUUGUUGUUUGAAAUCCUUGGCGAAAUAUUACAGAAAGACAGAUAAAACGGUGGUUAGUACAUAAAUGUUUAUGACAGGGAAAAUGGUACGUCUGUUAAUCACAUUUGAAACAUUUUCAUUGGUGAAUGACCAAAAGUAUCAGGCUUGUCCAAUAGUUGAUCAUUGACCAAGAUAAAACCUGCCAUGGUAGAGCCGUAGAGGUACGAUCUUUUCGUACCUCUUAGUGCACAGGACAUUCCUUUGUUUCAUCUAGCUAAUAAUCUACCAACUCAUUUCUUCACAAAUGCACCUUUUAUGGUCACGUCUACGAAAGCCUUUACAGGAUCUUUACCCUAAAAAUCAAUUCACCGACUCCCAUUUGAUGUCAGAAAUUCUUCUACUUUACUCCAAGAUUGACUGUUAAUAAUAAUGAGACAAUGACCACUUUGAAUUAGGGGUGCGCAAAAUUAUCUGCUAAUCCGAAAAUCCGUCAUAUUCGAUCUGAUCCGAUCCAAAAAUUAGGAUAUUUGAUUUUUAUUAUUUGAUCGGAUCAAAAGAGGGUCGGGUAUCCGCUAAGAUACGGGGCGAGUUAGAGUCACAUAAUUAAAAAUUCGCGGGUAUCCGAUCCGCCCCGCAUAUAUAUAUUUUUUAUUUUUAUACACACUAUAAAAUAAUAAGUUAGAACCAAAUAAGUAAUUUUAUUGAACAAAUUGCAUUACAAAUAUGAGAGACUAUAGUUUAUUUACAAGAUUCAUUUGUAAAGGUCAUGAUCUUAUAUUUUAUAGAAAAAAGUUUAAUUAAUGUGGAACAUAUAUAUUAAAAAUUGUGCUACUUAUUUCAAACUUUUAUUGAUUUUGAUUUCUUUUAAUUUUUUUCCUUUAUCUUAUAUUCUCUUCAUAUGCUUGUUUCUUGGUGGGAAACCUUUUUUUAGAAAAAAAAAAUUAUUAAAUCUUAGAUGAAUGUGUAAAAUAUAAAAUUAAAUUAGUAUAAAUCAUUUUUUUAAAAAAAUUAAAUGAUAAACGGGACGGAACGGGUACCCGCUGAUCCGACCCUAUCUUAUCGGGUACCCGCUGAUAUGCGGGGCAGGUAAAAAUCAGAAAAUGACUGACCUGUAAGGUGCAGGUCGAAUCAAUCAAAUGGUGAAUGGGACGGGUAUACGACCCGCGCCAACACCUACUUUGAAUUAUCACACCAUCCUUCUUGAUAGGAUUGGUACUAGAGGUAGGGAGGGGAGUCGGCUGCAUCCGGUCUUCUUUUCAUAGAUGUCAUUCACGCAAUAUUAUAUUUCGAAGUCAUUGCAUGGCUAAGCUGCAAAAAAGUACGAACACUUGUUAUUAUAUAGCUUAAGAUUCAAAACGUUAGAGCAUAACCCUCCACCUAACACAAUUGAAUAAUGAAUAUUCACGAUUGUCAAAUCUGUCAAAGCACAGUUUGAGGACAACCCAUUCCAACCUGCAAAAGAUUUUUUACUUUUCUAAAGUUGUUGAGAGCUGUAAAAAGACUUACCAUGCUUACAUCUUCCGAGCCUUGGGAGUUAAAAAUGAAGGCACUGAGUGCUAUAAAAAGGGGGCUAGAGGCUGCCUAGAAGCAUAUCAGCCUAAAACAAGAAUUUGUAGUUAUGAUGGGAAGCAAAGCAAAAGCAAUGGGGUCUGGGCUGACUCCUCUUCUUACCACUCUUUUAGUGGUAUUUGUUGCUCUUGGCUUGCCCUCAGAAACUGCAGCUGAUGAUCACUACAAGUAUUCAUCUCCUCCUCCUCCUUACCACUAUCCCUCACCACCACCUCCAGAGCAUUUACCUCCACCAGUGUACAAAUACAAGUCCCCACCACCACCUCAUCAUGUUUACAAGUACAAAUCUCCACCACCCCCACCACCACACCCAGUUUACAAGUAUAAGUCGCCACCACCACCUCCUCAUCCGGUACCACACCCAGUUUACAAGUAUAAGUCACCACCACCACCUCCUCAUCCGGUACCACACCCAGUUUACAAGUAUAAGUCACCACCACCACCUCCUCAUCCGGUAUACAAGUAUAAGUCUCCUCCGCCACACCACACCCAGUUUACAAGUAUAAGUCACCACCACCACCUCCUCAUCCGGUACCACACCCAGUUUACAAGUAUAAGUCACCACCACCACCUCCUCAUCCGGUAUACAAGUAUAAGUCUCCUCCGCCACCACCACACCCAGUUUACAAGUAUAAGUCACCACCACCAC